CGCAACGAGCGCAACCCUUGUUCUAUGUUGCCAGCGCGUAAUGGCGGGGACUCGUAGGAGACUGCCGGGGUCAACUCGGAGGAAGGUGGGGACGACGUCAAGUCAUCAUGCCCCUUAUGUCCAGGGCUGCAAACAUGCUACAAUGGCGAGUACAAAGGGUCGCGAUCCCGCGAGGGGGAGCUAAUCCCAUAAAGCUCGUCUCAGUUCGGAUCGGAGUCUGCAACUCGACUCCGUGAAGUUGGAGUCGCUAGUAAUCCCGGAUCAGCUACGCCGGGGUGAAUACGUUCCCGGGCCUUGUACACACCGCCCGUCACACCACGAAAGUCGGUAACACCCGAAGCCAGUGGCCCAACCGCAAGGAGGGAGCUGUCGAAGGUGGGACCAGCGAUCGGGGUGAAGUCGUAACAAGGUAGCCGUACCGGAAGGUGCGGCUGGAUCACCUCCUUUCUAGGGAGCUGACACUCGCUCGAGACCCCGUGCGUGGGUCGAGAGAUCGAGUCAGUGACCNAGUGGAUGCACUGCGCUACUGGCGCCUUCCUCGAGCUCGUCGUUCGUAGACCUUGGUCUCACGGCGAGCGAUUGUGAUGGCGUGUGUCU
RNAcentral lists this ribosomal RNA (597 nucleotides) under uncultured bacterium. RNAcentral's name for it is "bacterial SSU rRNA". The stretch from base 1 to 447 matches the Rfam family "Bacterial small subunit ribosomal RNA", at positions 1088 to 1533 of the family's 1533-position model. The record is from RNAcentral.